GCCCGGAUGGCGGAAUCGGUAGACGCAGGGGACUCAAAAUCCCCCGAUGGCAACAUCGUGCGAGUUCGAGUCUCGCUCUGGGCA
This 84-nucleotide transfer RNA is filed under the name Gemmatimonadaceae bacterium. RNAcentral describes it as "tRNA-Leu". It matches the Rfam family "tRNA". From Rfam's summary of the family: Transfer RNA (tRNA) molecules are approximately 80 nucleotides in length. RNAcentral also lists the same sequence under 1 other name. Lineage: Bacteria; Pseudomonadati; Gemmatimonadota; Gemmatimonadia; Gemmatimonadales; Gemmatimonadaceae. The record is from RNAcentral.